Molecule: long non-coding RNA, 343 nt
Organism: Melitaea cinxia (Glanville fritillary)
Lineage: Eukaryota; Metazoa; Arthropoda; Insecta; Lepidoptera; Nymphalidae
Exons: 2
Source: RefSeq, a predicted model, not a curated record
AAAAAUAAAAUUAAUAUAAUAAAAUAAAAAUUCAAUUCUUAUAACCUUUUAUGACAAUAAACCAAAGCAAUAAACAAAACAACACAUUACACAACGAUGGACGCUGGAUAAACAAAUCCGCCAUUUUGAUGCUCUGUGUUGCCGUCAUCAGUGAAUUUUUAAUUUCUCGCAUUAGGUCCCGAUUUUUUUUUACUCUAGCCUCACUUGAAAUAGCCCUUGAAGGUAUGUCGUUGAUUUGACGUAUAGAGUCGACACCCCCUGUUUAGCAACAUGUGUUGUUUUAGUCCACUUCAUUUUUGUAGUUUUAAGUAUAAUAUAUAUAAUAAAUAAAUACAAUCGAAUU